RNAcentral lists this ribosomal RNA (326 nucleotides) under Thermoflavimicrobium daqui. Its description in RNAcentral is "bacterial SSU rRNA". It matches the Rfam family "Bacterial small subunit ribosomal RNA", at positions 1249 to 1533 of the family's 1533-position model. Lineage: Bacteria; Bacillati; Bacillota; Bacilli; Caryophanales; Thermoactinomycetaceae. The record is from RNAcentral.
GCGAUACCGCGAGGUGAAGCCAAUCCCAAAAAGCCAGUCUCAGUUCGGAUUGCAGGCUGCAACUCGCCUGCAUGAAGUCGGAAUCGCUAGUAAUCGCGGAUCAGCAUGCCGCGGUGAAUACGUUCCCGGGCCUUGUACACACCGCCCGUCACACCACGAGAGUUUGCAACACCCGAAGUCGGUGAGGGAACCUACCCACCCCACAAAGUACUACUUUGCGGGGAACCCCGGGAAGGACCCAGCCGCCGAAGGUGGGGCAGAUGAUUGGGGUGAAGUCGUAACAAGGUAUCCCUACCGGAAGGUGGGGAUGGAUCACCUCCUUUCUA